GAUGAAGAACGUAGUGAAAUGCGAUAAGUAAUGUGAAUUGCAGAAUUCAGUGAAUCAUCGAAUCUUUGAACGCAUCUUGCGCUCCUUGGUAUUCCGAGGAGCAUGCCUGUUUGAGUGUCAUUUAACUUCUCAACCACAUUGGAUAUUUUUUUUCCGAUGCCGGCUUGGAUGUGGGGGUUGUUUGCAGGCUUUUUGUAACAAAAAAGGUCGGCUCCCCUGAAAUGUAUUAGUGGUAUCUGAGGCUAUUACUAUUAGGUGUGAUAAUUAUCUAUGCCUUUUGGGUAUGCCGCAUGAACAGAUUAUGCUGCUUCUAACGAAAACUAUUUUGAUGAAUUUGACCUCAAAUCAGGUAGGACUACCCGCUGAACUUAAGCAUAUCAAUAAGCGGAGGA
This 392-nucleotide unclassified non-coding RNA is filed under the name soil metagenome. RNAcentral describes it as "partial contains 5.8S ribosomal RNA, internal transcribed spacer 2, and large subunit ribosomal RNA". The stretch from base 1 to 120 matches the Rfam family "5.8S ribosomal RNA", at positions 35 to 154 of the family's 154-position model. The record is from RNAcentral.